CAGCCGCCGCGGUAAUACCGGCGGCCCGAGUGGCGGUCACUAUUAUUGGGCUUAAAGCGGCCGUAGCCGGGGUGGGAAGUCCUCCGGGAAAUCUGGCCGCUUAACGGUCAGAAUGCCGGAGGAUACUCCCAGCCUAGGGAGGGGGAGAGGCCGAGGGGAUUCCCGGGGUAGGGGGGAAAUCCUAUAAUCCCGGGAGGUCCACCGGUGGCGAAGGCGCUCGGCUGGAACGCGGCCGACGGUGAGGGACGAAGGCCAGGGGAGCAAACCGGAUUAGAUACCCGGGUAGUCCUGGCUGUAAACGAUGCGGACUUUGUGUCGGACAAGCUAUGAGCUUGUCCGGUGCCGGAGGGAAACCGUUAAGUCCGCCGCCUGGGGAGUACGGCCGCAAGGCUGAAACUUAAAGGAAUUGGCGGG
RNAcentral lists this ribosomal RNA (414 nucleotides) under uncultured microorganism. RNAcentral's name for it is "bacterial SSU rRNA". It matches the Rfam family "Archaeal small subunit ribosomal RNA", at positions 459 to 872 of the family's 1478-position model. The record is from RNAcentral.